GUCAGGAUGGCCGAGCGGUCUAAGGUGCUGUAAUCAGGUCUUAGUCCACUUGCGUGGGUUCGAAUUCCAAUUCUGACA
Molecule: non-coding RNA, 78 nt
Organism: Trichonephila clavipes
Lineage: Eukaryota; Metazoa; Arthropoda; Arachnida; Araneae; Nephilidae
Source: the annotation of a GenBank genome assembly